AGCAGCCGCGGUAAUUCCAGCUCCAAUAGCGUAUAUUAAAGUUGUUGCAGUUAAAAAGCUCGUAGUUGAAUUUCGAGAUCAGUACGCUGGUCGUGCCUUCGGUAUGCACUGGUGUCACUGGUUUCUCCCUUCUGAAGAACCGUCAUGCCAUUCAGUUGGUGUGGCGGGGAAUCAGGACUGUUACUUUAGAAAAAUUAGAGUGUUUAAAGCAGGCUCGCGCUUGAAUACAUUAGCAUGGAAUAAUGAAAUAGGACGUUUGACCCUAUUUUGUUGGUUUCUAGGAUCGACGUAAUGAUUAAUAGGGAUAGUUGGGGGCAUUAGUAUUCAAUUGUCAGAGGUGAAAUUCUUGGAUUUAUUGAAGACUAACUACUGCGAAAGCAUUUGCCAAGGAUGUUUUCUAUUAAUCAAGAACGAAAGUUAGGGGAUCGAAGACGAUCAGAUACCGUCGUAGUCUUAACCAUAAACUAUGCCGACUAGGGAUCGGAUGAUGUUUAAUUUUUAUGUACUCA
Molecule: ribosomal RNA, 509 nt
Filed under: uncultured Glomeraceae
Lineage: Eukaryota; Fungi; Glomeromycota; Glomeromycetes; Glomerales; Glomeraceae
Description: SSU rRNA
Rfam family: Eukaryotic small subunit ribosomal RNA
Source: RNAcentral